This 384-nucleotide ribosomal RNA is filed under the name uncultured bacterium. RNAcentral describes it as "bacterial SSU rRNA". It matches the Rfam family "Bacterial small subunit ribosomal RNA", at positions 29 to 417 of the family's 1533-position model. The record is from RNAcentral.
AUUGAACGCUGGCGGCAUGCCUUACACAUGCAAGUCGAACGGUAACGCGGGCAACCUGGCGACGAGUGGCGAACGGGUGAGUAAUACAUCGGAACGUGCCCAGUAGUGGGGGAUAGGCCCGGCGAAAGCCGGAUUAAUACCGCAUACGACCUACGGGUGAAAGCAGGGGAUCGCAAGACCUUGCGCUAUUGGAGCGGCCGAUGUCAGAUUAGGUGUUGGUGGGGUAAAGGCCUACCAAGCCGACGAUCUGUAGCUGGUCUGAGAGGACGACCAGCCACACUGGGACUGAGACACGGCCCAGACUCCUACGGGAGGCAGCAGUGGGGAAUUUUGGACAAUGGGCGCAAGCCUGAUCCAGCCAUGCCGCGUGCGGGAAGAAGGCCU